GACGAACGCUGGCGGCGUGCCUAAUACAUGCAAGUAGAACGCUGAAGAGAGGAGCUUGCUCUUCUUGGAUGAGUUGCGAACGGGUGAGUAACGCGUAGGUAACCUGCCUUGUAGCGGGGGAUAACUAUUGGAAACGAUAGCUAAUACCGCAUAACAAUGGAUGACACAUGUCAUUUAUUUGAAAGGGGCAAUUGCUCCACUACAAGAUGGACCUGCGUUGUAUUAGCUAGUAGGUGAGGUAAUGGCUCACCUAGGCGACGAUACAUAGCCAACCUGAGAGGGUGAUCGGCCACACUGGGACUGAGACACGGCCCAGACUCCUACGGGAGGCAGCAGUAGGGAAUCUUCGGCAAUGGGGGCAACCCUGACCGAGCAACGCCGCGUGAGUGAAGAAGGUUUUCGGAUCGUAAAGCUCUGUUGUAGGUCAAGAACGGGUGUGAGAGUGGAAAGUUCACACUGUGACGGUAGCUUACCAGAAAGGGACGGCUAACUACGUG
This 497-nucleotide ribosomal RNA is filed under the name uncultured bacterium. RNAcentral's name for it is "partial 16S ribosomal RNA". It matches the Rfam family "Bacterial small subunit ribosomal RNA", at positions 28 to 507 of the family's 1533-position model. The record is from RNAcentral.